RNAcentral lists this ribosomal RNA (467 nucleotides) under uncultured bacterium. RNAcentral describes it as "partial 16S ribosomal RNA". It matches the Rfam family "Bacterial small subunit ribosomal RNA", at positions 28 to 507 of the family's 1533-position model. The record is from RNAcentral.
GAUGAACGCUGACAGAAUGCUUAACACAUGCAAGUCAACUUGAAUUUGGGUUUUUAACUUAGGUUUGGGUGGCGGACGGGUGAGUAACGCGUAAAGAACUUGCCUCACAGCUAGGGACAACAUUUGGAAACGAAUGCUAAUACCUAAUAUUAUGAUAAUAGGGCAUCCUAUAAUUAUGAAAGCUAUAAGCGCUGUGAGAGAGCUUUGCGUCCCAUUAGCUAGUUGGAGAGGUAACGGCUCACCAAGGCGAUGAUGGGUAGCCGGCCUGAGAGGGUGAUCGGCCACAAGGGGACUGAGGCACGGCCCUUACUCCUACGGGAGGCAGCAGUGGGGAAUAUUGGACAAUGGACCGAGAGUCUGAUCCAGCAAUUCUGUGUGCACGAUGAAGUUUUUCGGAAUGUAAAGUGCUUUCAGUUGGGAAGAAACAAAUGACGGUACCAACAGAAGAAGUGACGGCUAAAUACGUG